UCAGACGAUGCGUCAUGCAUAUCAAUAAGCGGAGGAAAAGAAACUAACAAGGAUUCCCCUAGUAACGGCGAGUGAAGCGGGAAGAGCUCAAAUUUGAAAUCUUAAAGGGUUUCCCUUUACGAAUUGUAGUUUAAAGAAGUGUUUUCUGUUGAGGUUUUGGUAAAAGUUCUUUGGAAUAGGACAUCAUAGAGGGUGAGAAUCCCGUAUUUGACCUUUACUUUCAACUUUGUGAUACACUUUCAAAGAGUCGGAUUGUUUGGGAAUGCAGUCCAAAAUGGGUGGUAAAUUUCAUCUAAAGCUAAAUAUUGGCGAGAGACCGAUAGCGAACAAGUACCGUGAGGGAAAGAUGAAAAGAACUUUGAAAAGAGAGUUAAACAGUACGUGAAAUUGUCAAAAGGGAAGCGUUUGAUACCAGUGUUGUUUUUCUGAAAAUCAAUUAAAGAACUGUUUAUGCUAAGCUGUUUAGACUUUAUCAGCUAUCUGUUUAGUUUUGAGCUUUUCUUUAAUGCACUUUUCAGUUAACAAGUCAACAUCAAUUUCUUUUGCUGUAAAAAAGCUUGAGGAAGGUGGCUUGAGAUUCGUCUUAAGUGUUUAUAGCCUCUUGCCUAUGCAGUCGGAGAGAUUGAGGUCUGCAGCGUAGAUCCUUCGGGGCUAAAUGCAUUUGUGCUAAGUUAUAGCAUUUUAUAGACAACUUGUUGACUAUGAUUUGUCUUGUAGCUUACUCGCUUAUGUUAUUUUACCUACGCUUAGGAUGUUGACACACGCGCGUGCUCG
RNAcentral lists this ribosomal RNA (774 nucleotides) under uncultured Neocallimastigales. Its description in RNAcentral is "partial large subunit ribosomal RNA". It matches the Rfam family "Eukaryotic large subunit ribosomal RNA", at positions 18 to 642 of the family's 3401-position model. The record is from RNAcentral. Lineage: Eukaryota; Fungi; Neocallimastigomycota; Neocallimastigomycetes; Neocallimastigales.